Molecule: long non-coding RNA, 597 nt
Organism: Anneissia japonica
Lineage: Eukaryota; Metazoa; Echinodermata; Crinoidea; Comatulida; Comatulidae
Exons: 3
Source: RefSeq, a predicted model, not a curated record
GUUAUUAAAGUUUGGAAGGUCAAAAUUACAGGUCAAGGUCACAAUAGAUAAAAAACUACCUUUCUAUAUAUUACAGUCUACACUUAACAAUUUAUAUUAAUAUUAAUAUUCCAUGACCAACAAUUAAAGAUUAUUAAAUUUGAUUGACCAUGUGCCCCAUUUUGACUGACAGACUAGAAGCACUCUGGAUGGCAUGCAAGCCUGAUUAAUGGGCUUGCCACCUGAAGCCUAUGAUGAUGUUUUGCAGUUGGAGUGAAGAAUAAUACCCGAUUCACACGUGAAGUUAAAUUUAACAAAAAGUAACAAAUUGUAACCGAGCGAUCUCCCGAGUUAUUCCUACCGAGAUAAAAAGCAUUCACACGCGUCUGUAAGGAUUUAGUAUGAAAGAAUACAAAACAAUAUAUGAAAAAGGGGAUUCUAUUUAAUUUUCAGAUGGAGCCAACACACUGUCGAGUGACAACGGUCAUCAAACGUUUAAAUGAAUUCCAUGAUGAACUUGAACAAGAGUUUGCGUCAUUACAAGUAGCUUUUGCAGAAAACGACCGCCGACGUAUGCAUCACCAACUAAAAAAUUUGCCAUGCAUCAGACAUCUCGGC